Haliotis rubra (blacklip abalone) is the source of this 615-nucleotide long non-coding RNA. RefSeq lists it as uncharacterized. The record is from RefSeq and is a predicted model, not a curated record. NCBI's taxonomy places the organism in Eukaryota, Metazoa, Mollusca, Gastropoda, Lepetellida, Haliotidae. The transcript has 3 exons.
UUUAAAUCCCAGUCAUUAGGAUAAGAAUUCUCUUGAAUAUUCUUAAGUAUUUACAAGGAUAAUGAAUGUAGAUAACUCCCACAUAGGUGUAAAUACCAUCAAACCUGUAUAAUCUUAAUAUGUACAUGAAUAAUGAGUAGUAAGCUGUCAUAUACGUAUAAAUAUCAUCCUACCUGUAUAAUCAUUAGUAUUGACAAGGAUAAUGUGAAGUAAGCUGUCACAUAGGUAUAAAUAUCAUCCUACCUGUAUAAUCAUAAGUAUUGACAAGGAUAAUGAGCAGUAAGCUGUCACAUAGGUAUAAAUAUCAUCCUACCUGUAUAAUCAUAAAUAUUAACAAGGAUAAUGUAUAGUAAGAUGUCACAUAUGUAUAAAUAUUAUCCUCCCUGUAUAAUCAUAAGUUUGACAAGGAUAAUGUGUAGUAAGCUGUCACAUAGGUAUAAAUAUCAUCCUACCUGUAUAAUCAUAAGUAUUGACAAGGAUAAUGUGAAGUAAGCUGUCACAUAGGUAUAAAUAUCAUCCUACCUGUAUAAUCAUAAGUAUUGACAAGGAUAAUGUGUAGUAAGCUGUCACAUAGGUAUAAAUAUCAUCCUACCUGAAAAUCAUAAGUAUUGACAA